CCUAACAAACCUUCAGCCGCACCCCAGCCCUAUCCCGCCUCUGCCAUGUCCCUUACCCCAAACUCGCCAAAAAAACUUGCCAUCCCGGCGAGUUAGCUCAUCGGUCCCCCCCACGGCCGCCCUCCUCUCCAUUCUUUCUUCCACGCCACUCACCCCAUGCCAACUUCAUUAUUUCUACGCGUUUUCUUGGUCUCCAAGUUCAAAUCGAAUGAAUGGGCGCCAUAGAUUGAAUAAAAUAUCAAUCUAGACCUCCAUUUGUUUGAUUUCGAGCUAUAAAAGAGAGAAAUCAGAAGAUUUUUGAGGGAGUUCUUUUUAGGGGCGAGAAUUUUCAGGAAAAAAGAAAAAAGAGAGACAGAGAUAGAAACACUGGGUUUGUGGAUCUUUUUCAUCUUUGUUCUUAUUCUAUUUUCAGAAAUACAAAAAAAGAGAGAAAAAUAAACAACAGAGAAAAGGUUGAAAGGUCAGGUUUCUCUCUGGUUCUAUUGAUAUUUUGGUUUGCUUUGCUUUCCAGAGAAACAAAAAUACAAAAAUGAAAUAAAUAAAUAAUUUGAGUUUGAUUUUCGUUCGAGCAUUGUUCUAUUUCAAAAAAUUAGAAAAUUCCCCGAAAAUAUUUUAGUUUCUUCUCUUGGUUUUGGUUUCAACAUGGAGAUCGAUUGAUCUGAAGUCGAGUUUGCCGCUCGGGUUUUUGGUUCAUGUCCUCCAACCCUACUCGUGUUCGGCCUUCGCACAAGAGAUUGUUCUCAUUGAUUUCUCCUGUAAUUAUUAAAGGAAUCUUCGGCUCGAACAGGUUUGUUUCUUUCCUUUUCAUUUCACUAGUGGUGUGAUGAAAUGGUAAUAAGAGCUGGGGACCGGGGACAGUUUUAAAUCACUUAAGUCAUGAUUUGAUACAAUCUGUUGUGACUAGAGUAAUAUGAACCUCUUGAAAUAUUCUGUAGUUGUCUCUAAAUUUGAAUCUAUUUGGCAUAUGUCUCUACUUUGAUAGUAGUGAGAAUCAUGAAUUGGUGAUAUAUUUCAUUUAUUAUUUUAUGCAAUUUUUGUCGAGUGUGAGAAGGUCUUGUGAUGGCAUGGGUUUCAUUCUCGUGAAGUAAAGGAAUGCAGUGCCGGCACAAGCAUGAAAUGCCCUGUUUUCAGUUCCUCUGAGUUUGUGUUAGACUCUUUUUGUCAACUCUGCUGAUUUCCUUUCUAAUUUAUGUUAAGAACAUCCGAAUUUCACAAGGCAAUUUGAGAUUAUA
RNAcentral lists this long non-coding RNA (1232 nucleotides) under Nicotiana benthamiana. RNAcentral's name for it is "long non-coding RNA (NBEN_LNC028030)". Lineage: Eukaryota; Viridiplantae; Streptophyta; Magnoliopsida; Solanales; Solanaceae. The record is from RNAcentral.